Molecule: ribosomal RNA, 335 nt
Filed under: uncultured bacterium
Lineage: Bacteria
Description: SSU rRNA
Rfam family: Bacterial small subunit ribosomal RNA
Source: RNAcentral
AGAACGAACGCUGGCGGCACGCCUAACACUUACGAGUCAAAGCAGCAAUGCGCUUGGAGAGGAGUUCGCGGCCGAUUAGUUAGUUGGCGGGGUAAUGGCCCACCAAGACGAUGAUCGGUAUCCGGCCUGAGAGGGCGCACGGACACACUGGAACUGAAACACGGUCCAGACUCCUACGGGAGGCAGCAGUGGGGAAUUUUGCGCAAUGGGGGAAACCCUGACGCAGCAACGCCGCGUGGAGGAUGAAGCCCCUUGGGGUGUAAACUCCUUUCGAUCGGGAAGAUAAUGACGGUACCGAUAUAAGAAGCCCCGGCUAACUUCGCGCCAGCAGCCGC